Molecule: transfer RNA, 73 nt
Filed under: Streptomyces nitrosporeus
Lineage: Bacteria; Bacillati; Actinomycetota; Actinomycetes; Kitasatosporales; Streptomycetaceae
Rfam family: tRNA
About the family: Transfer RNA (tRNA) molecules are approximately 80 nucleotides in length. Their secondary structure includes four short double-helical elements and three loops (D, anti-codon, and T loops). Further hydrogen bonds mediate the characteristic L-shaped molecular structure. tRNAs have two regions of fundamental functional importance: the anti-codon, which is responsible for specific mRNA codon recognition, and the 3' end, to which the tRNAs corresponding amino acid is attached (by aminoacyl-tRNA synthetases). tRNAs cope with the degeneracy of the genetic code in two manners: having more than one tRNA (with a specific anti-codon) for a particular amino acid; and 'wobble' base-pairing, i.e. permitting non-standard base-pairing at the 3rd anti-codon position.
Source: Rfam by way of RNAcentral
GGGCCCGUAGCGCAGAGGUCGUCGCGCCCUCACGGCAUGUGGGAGGACGCCGGUUCGAAUCCGGCCGGUCCCG